UGCCUGGAGUGAAGAUUCUGCCCAUUGGUCAAGAGACCUCCCUCUCAGAUGCUGGCUCUGCCCCUGCCUUUGGGGGUCGACCCUUGUACUCGCAGGACCUUAGGUGACUCUAUUCUACUUCUCUGAUCAUCCAGGAAACCAAUCUGCCUGAGGACGAGUCAUACUCUGUCCUCCCACCCCAGGCUAGAGAGUGGUAUCUGUCUUUCCACAAGUUGAGCUGGCCAUAAAGAAAUUCUCUGACCUACUCUGUUUGGUAGUAGGUCCUCAGAUCCGCAUUCCAAAGGGAUCCUGUCCCAUACUUGGGAGCAAGAAAUGUCACACAGAGAGGCCAUGAAGAACUCAAACAGAGAGGCCUGGCUGGGUCCUUCUUUCAGUCUAUGAUUCUUAGAUUACAGCCUUUUGUCCCAUCACACUUCUGUAUUCUGCACAGCCUUAGUGGAUUCUAAGUAUGCAAGUGGCCAGUUUCUUUGGAUAUCUGAGUCUUCAUUUAUGAAGACUCCAGUGUCAGGACCAUAUUGUGACUGAAACAAGGCAUAACAGGUCUUUGACUAGCUAUCCUGUGGGUGUGGCCUCAGGGUAGCCUGCAGAAAGUGGUGAGCAAGGUGGUUGGGAAAAUCAAAGGAGGGGGUAAGGUAGUGGCAGGUAACUAUCGAUAAUCUGCUCUUCUUCACAGAAAGACAGGCAAUUAGAUUGAAAAAUACCUGUGAUUCAAAGAAGUCACAAGUCACAGAGACAAACUUUUCCCAGUGUGUUCGAGUCAGAGAACCUUUGCAAAGACCAACAGGCUAAAAGAGAAAAUACAGUGUCAUCUUGAUGCAGAUGAGCAGGUAGCCAUGGAAGUCAUGAGCUGAGGCUGCAGAGUCUAGAGCCAGAGCGUGGAAUAAACUUGGGUCUCAAAUCACCCCUGGAGCAAAGCCCCCAUCUAAUCAGGAACUUCUACUUUCAACUUUACAUGCGUGAGAAAUGAACUUCUAUCAUGUUAGAGAAAUCCUUACACGGUGCCCUUGAGAGCUUUCAUACCGCAAGUUAU
Molecule: non-coding RNA, 1030 nt
Filed under: Pongo abelii (Sumatran orangutan)
Lineage: Eukaryota; Metazoa; Chordata; Mammalia; Primates; Hominidae
Source: RNAcentral